This 763-nucleotide ribosomal RNA is filed under the name Escherichia coli. RNAcentral's name for it is "bacterial SSU rRNA". It matches the Rfam family "Bacterial small subunit ribosomal RNA", at positions 25 to 777 of the family's 1533-position model. Lineage: Bacteria; Pseudomonadati; Pseudomonadota; Gammaproteobacteria; Enterobacterales; Enterobacteriaceae. The record is from RNAcentral.
CAGAGUGAACGCUGGCGGUAGGCCUAACACAUGCAAGUCGAACGGCAGCACAGGAGAGCUUGCUCUCUGGGUGGCGAGUGGCGGACGGGUGAGGAAUACAUCGGAAUCUACUCUGUCGUGGGGGAUAACGUAGGGAAACUUACGCUAAUACCGCAUACGACCUACGGGUGAAAGCAGGGGACCUUCGGGCCUUGCGCGAUUGAAUGAGCCGAUGUCGGAUUAGCUAGUUGGCGGGGUAAAGGCCCACCAAGGCGACGAUCCGUAGCUGGUCUGAGAGGAUGAUCAGCCACACUGGAACUGAGACACGGUCCAGACUCCUACGGGAGGCAGCAGUGGGGAAUAUUGGACAAUGGGCGCAAGCCUGAUCCAGCCAUACCGCGUGGGUGAAGAAGGCCUUCGGGUUGUAAAGCCCUUUUGUUGGGAAAGAAAUCCAGCUGGCUAAUACCCGGUUGGGAUGACGGUACCCAAAGAAUAAGCACCGGCUAACUUCGUGCCAGCAGCCGCGGUAAUACGAAGGGUGCAAGCGUUACUCGGAAUUACUGGGCGUAAAGCGUGCGUAGGUGGUUAUUUAAGUCCGUUGUGAAAGCCCUGGGCUCAACCUGGGAACUGCAGUGGAUACUGGAUGACUAGAAUGUGGUAGAGGGUAGCGGAAUUCCUGGUGUAGCAGUGAAAUGCGUAGAGAUCAGGAGGAACAUCCAUGGCGAAGGCAGCUACCUGGACCAACAUUGACACUGAGGCACGAAAGCGUGGGGAGCAAACAGGA